RNAcentral lists this ribosomal RNA (279 nucleotides) under uncultured bacterium. Its description in RNAcentral is "partial 16S ribosomal RNA". It matches the Rfam family "Bacterial small subunit ribosomal RNA", at positions 506 to 784 of the family's 1533-position model. The record is from RNAcentral.
UGCCAGCCGCCGCGGUAACACGGGGGGCGCAAGCGUUAUUCGGAAUUAUUGGGCGUAAAGCGCGCGUAGGUGGUUGUGUAAGUCAGAUGUGAAAGUCCACGGCUUAACCGUGGAAGUGCAUUUGAAACUGUAUAACUUGAGUACUGGAGGGGGUAGUGGAAUUCCCGGUGUAGAGGUGAAAUUCGUAGAUAUCGGGAGGAAUACCGGUGGCGAAGGCGACUACCUGGCCAGAUACUGACACUGAGGUGCGAAAGCGUGGGGAGCAAACAGGAUUAGAUA